RNAcentral lists this transfer RNA (73 nucleotides) under Camelus bactrianus (Bactrian camel). It matches the Rfam family "tRNA". From Rfam's summary of the family: Transfer RNA (tRNA) molecules are approximately 80 nucleotides in length. The record is from Rfam by way of RNAcentral. RNAcentral also lists the same sequence under 2 other names. Lineage: Eukaryota; Metazoa; Chordata; Mammalia; Artiodactyla; Camelidae.
GAGAGUAUAGCUCAAGUGGUAGAGCACAUGCUUAGCAUGCAUAAGGGCCUGGGUUCAAUCCCCAGCACCUCCU